GAAUUCCCUAUGGGGAGUUGUUGCUGGCCUCUAGGGGCAUGUGCACGCUUCACUAGUCUUUCAACCACCUGUGAAUUUUUGAUAGAUCUGUGAAGUCGUCUCUCAAGUCGUUAGACUUGGUUUGCUGGGAUGUAAACGUCUCGGUGUGACUACGCAGUCUAUUUACUUAUAACACCCCAAAUGUAUGUCUACGAAUGUCAUUUAAAGGGCCUUGUGCCUAUAAACCAUAAUACAACUUUCAACAACGGAUCUCUUGGCUCUCGCAUCGAUGAAGAACGCAGCGAAAUGCGAUAAGUAAUGUGAAUUGCAGAAUUCAGUGAAUCAUCGAAUCUUUGAACGCACCUUGCGCCCCUUGGUAUUCCGAGGGGCAUGCCUGUUUGAGUGUCAUUAAAUUCUCAAACUCACUCUGGUUUUUCCAAUUGUGAUGUUUGGAUUGUUGGGGGCUGCUGGCCUUGACAGGUCGGCUCCUCUUAAAUGCAUUAGCAGGACUUCUCAUUGCCUCUGCGCAUGAUGUGAUAAUUAUCACUCAUCAAUAGCACGCAUGAAUAGAGUCUGGCUCUCUAACCGUCCGCAAGGACAAUUUGACAAUUUGACCUCAAAUCAGGUAGGACUACCCGCUGAACUUAAGCAUAUCAAUA
This 638-nucleotide ribosomal RNA is filed under the name Pleurotus himalayaensis (nom. inval.). RNAcentral describes it as "eukaryotic LSU rRNA". The stretch from base 234 to 387 matches the Rfam family "5.8S ribosomal RNA". The record is from RNAcentral. Lineage: Eukaryota; Fungi; Basidiomycota; Agaricomycetes; Agaricales; Pleurotaceae.